This 1038-nucleotide long non-coding RNA is filed under the name Daucus carota (carrot). RNAcentral describes it as "long non-coding RNA (DCAR_LNC002652)". Lineage: Eukaryota; Viridiplantae; Streptophyta; Magnoliopsida; Apiales; Apiaceae. The record is from RNAcentral.
GGCAGUGAUGAUCCCAAUAGGUAGGGUGAAAAAGAUGGCAAUGCCACAUGCUAGCAAGACACCCCAACAUGGUAACUGGAGUUGGGCUUUGUAAUAUUCACAUACAAAUAUGGUUGCUACAAUGUUUGUCAAGAGAAUGCAAGCGAACCACCAUUCUGGAACUUGCUUGUACUUUCUCAUAAGCCUUGUGUGCACAUCCAUAUGUUUAUUUUGGAAAACGGACUUGCUCUGCUGCCAUAGUUCUCUAAGACCUUGUAAAUGUGAGUUAGAUUAUAUAACAAGGUAGUUGCUCAAGAAAGAUAGCCAAUUAUGUAGGUAUGCAUACACAAACAAUGAAACAUUAUAAAUUACUAAACAAAAGCAAUAACAAAUCACCACUAGAGAUAAUAUUUUCAAAUCAAAAUGAGCAAAAUUUACUAAAAGAAAACAUCACAGAAGCAAUUUUCUUCCAUGAUAUUCUCCACNUUUCUUAAAAUUUUUCAUUCUUUAGCUUUGUAGUAGAAGCAAACCUGACAAAUAAAUAAUCCCAGACUAUAAAAAUUGUAUUGAUUUUGUUAAUAACUAUUUUGGCCCAUCACUGUUUACAAGUCUACCGCAACAAAUGCGUUAUAAGUAUAUCUAAAUAUGUAUAAACAACUUUCAGGGCACAAUAAGUAAAAUGUUACAUAGAGUGAUGGCGUGAUACCUGAUUAGUCGUGGCAGUGAUGAUCCCAAUAGGUAGGGUGAAAAAGAUGGCAAUGCCACAUGCUAGCAAGACACCCCACCAUGGUAACUGGAGUUGGGCUUUGUAAUAUUCACAUACAAAUAUGGUUGCUACAAUGUUUGUCAAGAGAAUGCAAGCGAACCAUCAUUCUGGAACUUGCUUGUACUUUCUCAUAAGCCUUGUGUGCACAUCCAUAUGUUUAUUUUGGAAAACGGACUUGCUCUGCUGCCAUAGUUCUCUAAGACCUUGUAAAUGUGAGUUAGAUUAUAUAACAGGGUAGUUGCUCAAGAAAGAUAGCCAAUUAUGUAGGUAUGCAUACACAAACAAUGAAACAU